CCUACGGGCGGCUGCAGUGGGGAAUUUUGGACAAUGGGCGCAAGCCUGAUCCAGCCAUUCCGCGUGCAGGAUGAAGGCCUUCGGGUUGUAAACUGCUUUUGUACGGAACGAAACGGUCUGCCCUAAUACGGCGGGCUAAUGACGGUACCGUAAGAAUAAGCACCGGCUAACUACGUGCCAGCAGCCGCGGUAAUACGUAGGGUGCAAGCGUUAAUCGGAAUUACUGGGCGUAAAGCGUGCGCAGGCGGUUAUAUAAGACAGAUGUGAAAUCCCCGGGCUCAACCUGGGAACUGCAUUUGUGACUGUAUGGCUAGAGUACGGCAGAGGGGGAUGGAAUUCCGCGUGUAGCAGUGAAAUGCGUAGAUAUGCGGAGGAACACCGAUGGCGAAGGCAAUCCCCUGGGCCUGUACUGACGCUCAUGCACGAAAGCGUGGGGAGCAAACAGGAUUAGAUACCCCAGUAGUC
This 465-nucleotide ribosomal RNA is filed under the name uncultured Comamonadaceae bacterium. Its description in RNAcentral is "bacterial SSU rRNA". It matches the Rfam family "Bacterial small subunit ribosomal RNA", at positions 338 to 795 of the family's 1533-position model. The record is from RNAcentral. Lineage: Bacteria; Pseudomonadati; Pseudomonadota; Betaproteobacteria; Burkholderiales; Comamonadaceae.